Scophthalmus maximus (turbot) is the source of this 1187-nucleotide long non-coding RNA. RefSeq lists it as uncharacterized. The record is from RefSeq and is a predicted model, not a curated record. The transcript is spliced from 2 exons. Lineage: Eukaryota; Metazoa; Chordata; Actinopteri; Pleuronectiformes; Scophthalmidae.
GGCCACGCCCCCUCAGACGCGUCAUCCUUUCCCUUUUUCACUGCACCUGUCGAGCUGCGUUCGCGUGCGGGCGGAAACAAGGGCGUUCAACAGAUUCAUUGUACACCUGCACGGUGUUCAACACAGACGGUCCAUUGAUCCAUUCUGCUGCUGCUGCUCACUUCCGGGAACUACUGCGAGGCUCCGUGAUCCGCCAUUGCUGGAAGAACAAAGAACUGGUCCGCCGGAGUGAAGGGAGAUGUGGCGACUCUCUCUCUCAACGGCUCUGGUACUGAAGCGUUUUAAAUGACUUGAGGAACUUAUAACUAAAGGUAAAUACACUCAGCAAUAUUUUUUACCGUGUAACUGAGAGGGAGAACACAUGAGAAUAAUGUACUCUGAACCCUUUUCAGCAAUUUUAAACAAGCAUUCGCCUAAACGUUGUACUUUUUCUUCCACUGAUGUUUUCUUUUCCUUUAAACCAGUUUUUUUAUUUUCAUUUUUUUUAUCUUGUUUUUGCUCUGUAGCACUUUGAGAUUGCUUUCAGCAAUGAAAAGUGCUCUAUAAAUAAAAUGUAUUAUUAUUAUUAUUAUUAGAAAAAUGGGUAACUGGUAGUAAUUAAAAUAUUUAUUGGUGGUAAAAUAAGUCUUCAGAUCAUAGAAUAACCAGUGUGUGAAAAUACAUUUAAAAGUCCUGCAUUGAAAGUAGUCCUUAUUUAAAAGUAUGUUCGGCAAAAUUUUCAGUAUGACAUUGCAUUUACAACGCUCAUGUUUUUCUUUGUGGACCUUUUCGUUGUAUCUUUGACUUCAGGAUCUUAUUGGUUAAAUGUGAAUUGUUUUAUGCAUUGUUUGCUCUUUUACUAUUUUGUGUUUUGGAUUUGUUGUUCGGCCUUCCUUUGUGUCUCUGCCUUAGUUAAGUUACUUUUGUCAUCAGCUGCGUUUGCAUCUUGAGUCUGGUGUUUCUUGCUACCUGAGUAGUUAUUUCUUUUAAUUUAAUUUUAGGGGAAUACUACCUUUUCUGAACUGAACAUAUCUUCACUAUAAUGUUGACUGACCAAGGUGGAUUUCAACGAUCAAUCGAGACAAUCACGUUUUUUUACGCUGCAAAACACAACAAUCUUAUAAUCAAUUAUUGGAUAACAAAAUGGGUAAAAAUAGAAAAAAAAUUCUCUGCAAUUGUGGUGGAUAUUGUUUUUUAUUUUGGUGUCG